This 40-nucleotide non-coding RNA is filed under the name Alexandrium minutum. The record is from RNAcentral. Lineage: Eukaryota; Dinophyceae; Gonyaulacales; Pyrocystaceae.
UUUUUUUUUUUUUUUUUUUUUUUUUUUUUUUUUUUUUCGC